CUGGGAAUCAAUGUGUGAGGUGGUGCUUUUUAGCAGGAACCCCUCUCGCUUUGCAAAUAGUUUUUUGUUUGUUUUCCUUUUUGCCCAAUAGAGCCCUGCUCUACUGACCCUUCAAUGUGCCCGUGUGCCUAAAUAUUCCUGGUCGUGUGAAAAGAACCCAGGUAUUAGCUGAACUAAGGAGCACAAUUCUGCAACAUUUUGGCACCCAAACACGGGGCUUGAGAAAUGAAUGCAAUUGGAGAAACUGGUUGUUUUACCAGGCGUUGAUUGGAAAUGUGUGCUUCCCUUUAAGCAGUCAAGCUCAACUUGCAGAGCUGAUGGAAACCCCUUGGGAAAACUGGCCUCAAACGUUUGUCUACACAGUCCACAUACAGGGUUCUUAACCUGCGAUGAGGGAAACUUCCCAGGGCUUGUCUGGGUAUGCCCACAGUGGACUGGAGCCCAACCUGCACACUGGAGGAAGUGGGUGGAGCCACGUGGAUGUCAUGCCUUAUGCAGGGGAGGAGCCUGCUCUCUUCAGCUCCUGUGGUAAUGUGGGAAUUGAUCUGUGAGCAUAUUUAACUAUCGGGCUAUUUUGGAGAUUGAAAAAAGAAGACCUGAUUUAUCAUGUGCAAUAUCUCAUUCGACCGCAAUUCGAUGGAGUCUUGUUCUGUGGUCCAGGCUGGACGGCAGUGGCAUGAUCUCGGCUCACUACAAGCUCCGCCUCCCGGGUUCACGCCAUUCUCCUGCCUCAGCCUCCCGAGUAGCUGGGACUACAGGCGCCCGCCACCACGCCUGGCUAAUUUUUUGUAUAUUUACUAGAGAUGGCCAGUGUUAGCCAAGAUGGUCUCGAUCUCCUUACCUUGUGAUCCGCCCACCUCAGCCUGCCAAAGUGCUGGGAUUACUGAUGUGAGCCACCGUGCCUGGCCAGCAUCCUCUAAUUGUUAUUCAUAGUUUGUAAAUUUAGGCCUACAUGAAUAAUAAUAUAAUAUUUACUAUGAUGUUACUAUCUACCAACCUUAUUUUUCUUUUCUAUAAAAUAGGAGCCAAAAUAAUAUUUAUGUCAUAUCUUAUGAAGUUAAAAUAAAAUAUAACGAAUGAGGGGCUUAA
RNAcentral lists this long non-coding RNA (1089 nucleotides) under Pan troglodytes (chimpanzee). RNAcentral describes it as "lincRNA". Lineage: Eukaryota; Metazoa; Chordata; Mammalia; Primates; Hominidae. The record is from RNAcentral.